AUAUUGCACAAUGGGGGAAACCCUGAUGCAGCAAUGCCGCGUGAGUGAAGAAGGCCCUUGGGUCGUAAAGCUCUUUCGAUUGGGAAGAAGGGUUCUACAGCGAAUACCUGUAGGACUGGACGGUACCUAAAGAAGAAGCACCGGCUAAUCUCGUGCCAGCAGCCGCGGUAAUACGAGAGGUGCAAGCGUUGUUCGGAAUUAUUGGGCGUAAAGCGCACGUAGGCGGGUUUGUAUGUCGAUUGUGAAAGCCCAGGGCUUAACCCUGGAAUUGCAGUCGAAACUGCAAAUCUUGAAUACUUGAUAGGGUGGGAGAAUUCCUGGUGGAGCAGUGAAAUGCGUAGAGAUCAGGAGGAAUACCGGAGGCGAAGGCGCCUGCCUGGCAAGAUAUUGACGCUGAGGUGCGAAAGCAUGGGGAGCAAA
This 420-nucleotide ribosomal RNA is filed under the name uncultured bacterium. RNAcentral's name for it is "bacterial SSU rRNA". It matches the Rfam family "Bacterial small subunit ribosomal RNA", at positions 361 to 772 of the family's 1533-position model. The record is from RNAcentral.